CAUGCAAGUCGAACGCGUCUUGGGGGCAACUCCAAGAUGAGUGGCGAACGGGUGAGUAACACGUGGGUAAUCUCCCCCCGAGUGAGGAAUAAGCCCGCGAAAGCGGGUCUAAUACUGCAUAACACCCCGGGGCAUAAGCUUCCGGGGUCAAAGCCGUAAGGCGCUUGGGGAUGAGCCUGCGUCCUAUUAGCUAGUUGGUAGGGUAACGGCCUACCAAGGUUAUGAUGGGUAGCCGGCCUGAGAGGGUGUUCGGCCACACUGGGACUGAGACACGGCCCAGACUCCUACGGGAGGCAGCAGUGGGGAAUCUUGCGCAAUGGGGGAAACCCUGACGCAGCAACGCCGCGUGGAGUGAUGAAGGCUUUCGGGUCGUAAAGCCCUGUCAGGUGGGAAGAAAUAUGCCAAUAUGAAUAAUAUUGACAUUGGACGG
RNAcentral lists this ribosomal RNA (430 nucleotides) under uncultured bacterium. RNAcentral's name for it is "bacterial SSU rRNA". It matches the Rfam family "Bacterial small subunit ribosomal RNA", at positions 54 to 475 of the family's 1533-position model. The record is from RNAcentral.